CCUACGGGCGGCAGCAGUGAGGAAUAUUGGUCAAUGGGCGAGAGCCUGAACCAGCCAAGUCGCGUGAGGGAGUACUGCCCUAUGGGUUGUAAACCUCUUUUGUCGGGGAGCAAAAGCCGGACGUGUCCGGCUGUGAGAGUACCCGAAGAAAAAGCAUCGGCUAACUCCGUGCCAGCAGCCGCGGUAAUACGGAGGAUGCGAGCGUUAUCAGGAUUUAUUGGGGUUAAAGGGUGCGCAGGCGGAUUUUUAAGUCAGCGGUCAAAUCGUGGGGCUCAACCCCAUCCAGCCGUUGAAACUGGGGAUCUAGAGUGUGCGAGAGGUAUGCGGAAUGCGUGGUGUAGCGGUGAAAUGCAUAGAUAUCACGCAGAACCCCGAUUGCGAAGGCAGCAUACCGGUGCACAACUGACGCUCAGGCACGAAAGCGUGGGUAUCGAACAGGAUUAGAUACCCUUGUAGUC
This 458-nucleotide ribosomal RNA is filed under the name uncultured bacterium. Its description in RNAcentral is "partial 16S ribosomal RNA". It matches the Rfam family "Bacterial small subunit ribosomal RNA", at positions 338 to 795 of the family's 1533-position model. The record is from RNAcentral.